AUGCCAGUCUUAGUCCGUCUCAAUUGUUCAAUGGUCAAGCUGCAGGUAACGGAGCAUCUACUGACAACAAUCAGGUGGCUUCACAAAAUGCAGCAUCCGAAGUGCAAUCAAACCCUCAACUGAACACAGGUACAUGUUUAAUUCAGUCUUUGUAUGAGAUGAUCAAGAUGCUUUCCCAUGUUGCAUUUUAGUAUGGGAAAUAACAUCAAACCCUUCACCUCUACCUAGCUGAUUAAACUCAACUCCACGAUUUACGAUGGAUUUGCGCGGUGACUAGCUGUAAAAACAGCUUUCUUAUUUUCUCACCUCUAUUGCUUUUCUCUCGUGAAUGAGGUGACAUCAACAAACUUUCUACCUCAACCUCCAUUACCUACCACUGGACCUCAAGGUAAAUAUAUGAACAGCGGUCUGAGGAUUCUUCAGUGUAGUUCCAAAGUUGGCAUUACAAUGCAAAUAAAAUGUUGUCAAUAAGAAUUGUUUAUUUUCUCUCACAACUUUUAGUGAAUCAGGUAACCACUGUUGGUUUGGAAAACCCAGAGCUGAAAACCAGAAAAGAAAUGCUCAAAUUUCGCUAUAAUCUGACAUUUGACCCCAACACUGCUUACCGCCACCUGAAACUGGCUGAUGGGGACCGUAAAGCCACUCUGAAGGCAGAGAAGCAGAACCA
Long non-coding RNA from Salvelinus fontinalis (brook trout), 667 nucleotides. RefSeq lists it as uncharacterized. The record is from RefSeq and is a predicted model, not a curated record. The transcript has 3 exons. Lineage: Eukaryota; Metazoa; Chordata; Actinopteri; Salmoniformes; Salmonidae.